This is a long non-coding RNA of Lotus japonicus, 1079 nucleotides long. RefSeq lists it as uncharacterized. The transcript is spliced from 2 exons. The record is from RefSeq and is a predicted model, not a curated record. Lineage: Eukaryota; Viridiplantae; Streptophyta; Magnoliopsida; Fabales; Fabaceae.
AAAUCUGACUGGUAACUCUUUGCUUAUUUCACUUUUGAAAAUUCCUUGCUGCUGACCUCUUCAAGAAUUCUUAAUCUAUGGUUAACUGAAAGAUAGGGUAUAUGUCACGAGAUGCAAGAACCUUGGUUGUGUUCUGGUUUAAUUAUGCAGAAUUUGUCUUGCACUUUGAUGACUUUGAUGUCUGUGGAAGUGGAUAAAUGUUGCUGGCUUUGAGGGGCUGAUGCGUGGUGCCUACUUGAAGAUUUGUGCCUGGCUUGGAUCACAUCUUUGUUGUUUGAUGAUUGUUGUCUUCUGUUUUUGUUACUCUUUUAGCUUUCUUUAGCUUUCUUUUUGUUGUCAUCUUGUGUAUGUGUUGCUUGUUGUGAGUCUCGUGGCUACUUCUUUGACACUAUUUGUUUUGCUGUUUUAACUCGUGUUAUGCUUACUUGGGAGAGCUUUGUUGCCAAGAAUCUUUUAUUAUAUCUAUUGUGAUUGCCUUUUCAAAAAAAAACUUUGUGACAUAUGGUGUUGAUUUGUAUAUCCAGGAGGAACUUUUGGAGCUGCAGGAUCCUAAUUUUGCUUAUACUUUGAGAAGUCAGCAACAACGAGCCUUAGAAUUAUGGGAGAAAAACUGGCAUAGUGGUGCACCCCUUAAAAGAAAGCAUCUUGCUUGUGAUCCUCAGAGGUUCAUUUGGGCAGUAGGUAUUGCUCAAUCACGAUGUAUCUAUAACUACUGCAAAGGUUAUCUCCAAUGAUACUAUUCAUCCAAGGGUUUUACCCCAUGUGAUCAAGGUCCACCGUAAGGGCAAAUUAAGGUUGCUUUUUCUUAUCUUUUGGUUGGUUUCAUGUAGGUUUGUAAACUUUUUUGGGUUUUAUCGUGUUGAUUUGCUUUUUGUUGCUCACCUGGUCAGUGGAAAGUUAAUGGAUGAAUUUGCAGUACAAUUUACUUUUCGGGGAACUUUUGAUAGGAUAAAGUUGUUCGAUUGUUUUGUGUGUGAAAUUGCUUUCAAUUUGUGGGAAUGGUGUUUUUCAUUAGGUUGUGUAUAGAAUAUAUGUUCUGUUAAUUUUAUUUUUGACAGUAGUGAAUGAAACUUGAAUGA